RNAcentral lists this ribosomal RNA (320 nucleotides) under uncultured eukaryote. RNAcentral describes it as "partial 18S ribosomal RNA". It matches the Rfam family "Eukaryotic small subunit ribosomal RNA", at positions 1470 to 1796 of the family's 1831-position model. The record is from RNAcentral.
CCCUUAGAUGUUCUGGGCCGCACGCGCGCUACACUGACGAAUGCAACGAGCUUAUAACCUUGGCCGAAAGGUCUGGGUAAUCUCCAAAUUUCGUCGUGAUGGGGAUAGAUUAUUGCAAUUAUUAAUCUUCAACGAGGAAUGCCUAGUAAGCGCAAGUCAUCAGCUUGCGUUGAUUACGUCCCUGCCCUUUGUACACACCGCCCGUCGCACCUACCGAUUGAAUGGUCCGGUGAAAUCUCGGGACGGCGGCUUGGUCGCUUGCGUCCGACUGCUGAAACUUGAUUAAACCAUAUCAUUUAGAGGAAGGUGAAGUCGUNACA